Molecule: ribosomal RNA, 584 nt
Filed under: Conopora sp. C AL-2008
Lineage: Eukaryota; Metazoa; Cnidaria; Hydrozoa; Anthoathecata; Stylasteridae
Description: partial 16S large subunit ribosomal RNA
Rfam family: Bacterial large subunit ribosomal RNA
Source: RNAcentral
CCUAGAAAAAAUCUAAGGUGAUACCUGCCCAAUGAUUUUAAGAAUCGAUAUAAACAUUUUAUAAAAAAUUUAAAGGACGCAGUAACUUGACUGUGAUAAAGUAGCAUAAUCACUUGCCAUUUAAUUGGUGGAUAGUAUGAAUGGUUCCACGAGUCCUCCACUAUCUAAAAGAGAGAAAUCAUGAAAUUAAAACAAUAGUUAAGAUUCUAUUUAAAAUUGUAAGACGAAAAGACCCUAUAGAGCUUAACUACAAUUUUCCUUAAAAUACAAGAACCAUCUUACAAAAUAGGAAAAGGGCUAGUUUAGUUGGGGCGACUGCCUUCUAAAAAUAACGAAGGUAAGCUAAGUUAAUAAAAAAUUUACUGUACAAUUAAUAAAUUUAACAGUUACUAAAGUAGGCCAUAACGACCCGUUGAAACCUAGUAAUAAGAUUAACGAUCAAUAAAUAAAAGUUACCUUAGGGAUAACAGGAUAAUUUUAUCUUAGAGACCAUAUCGAAGACAAAGCUUAUCACCUCUAUGUUGAAUUAAGAUAACCGAAUAGCGCAGAAGCUAUUGAGGGUAGGUCUGUUCGACCUUUAAAAU